GCCUCUACUCCUAAAUAUCUCUCUCCAUACCAUAUCUCUUGCAGGGCCUGUGUAAUAGAUGAAAAUAUCUAUCUUUUUAAUUAUUUAGCUUUGUUUCUACUUUCUUCCACCCUUCUAAUAUAUGAGAAGGAGAGUCAGUUAGGGAGAGAUGCGAGAAUCAAAAGGUUUCUAAUAUAUGAGAAGGAGAGUCAAUUAGGGAGAGAUGCGAGAAUCAAAAGGCUCUGU
This 225-nucleotide long non-coding RNA is filed under the name Elaeis guineensis (African oil palm). RNAcentral's name for it is "long non-coding RNA (EGUI_LNC050622)". The record is from RNAcentral. Lineage: Eukaryota; Viridiplantae; Streptophyta; Magnoliopsida; Arecales; Arecaceae.